Molecule: unclassified non-coding RNA, 348 nt
Filed under: soil metagenome
Description: partial contains 5.8S ribosomal RNA, internal transcribed spacer 2, and large subunit ribosomal RNA
Rfam family: 5.8S ribosomal RNA (bases 1-120)
Source: RNAcentral
GAUGAAGAACGUAGCGAAAUGCGAUAAGUAAUGUGAAUUGCAGAAUUCAGUGAAUCAUCGAGUCUUUGAACGCACAUUGCGCCCCCUGGUAUUCCGGGGGGCAUGCCUGUCCGAGCGUCAUUGCUGCCCUCAAGCACGGCUUGUGUGUUGGGCCCCCGCCCCCGGUUUCCCCCGGGGACGGGCCCGAAAGGCAGCGGCGGCACCGCGUCCGGUCCUCGAGCGUAUGGGGCUUUGUCACCCGCUCUGUAGGCCCGGCCGGCGCCAGCCGACACCCAACUUUAUUUCUAAGGUUGACCUCGGAUCAGGUAGGGAUACCCGCUGAACUUAAGCAUAUCAAUAAGCGGAGGA